GACGAACGCUGGCGGCGUGCUUAACACAUGCAAGUCGAACGAAGAGCGAUGGAAGCUUGCUUCUAUCAAUCUUAGUGGCGAACGGGUGAGUAACGCGUAAUCAACCUGCCCUUCAGAGGGGGACAACAGUUGGAAACGACUGCUAAUACCGCAUACGAUCUAAUCUCGGCAUCGAGGAUAGAUGAAAGGUGGCCUCUACAUGUAAGCUAUCACUGAAGGAGGGGAUUGCGUCUGAUUAGCUAGUUGGAGGGGUAACGGCCCACCAAGGCGAUGAUCAGUAGCCGGUCUGAGAGGAUGAACGGCCACAUUGGGACUGAGACACGGCCCAGACUCCUACGGGAGGCAGCAGUGGGGAAUCUUCCGCAAUGGACGAAAGUCUGACGGAGCAACGCCGCGUGAGCGAUGACGGCCUUCGGGUUGUAAAGCUCUGUUAAUCGGGGACGAAAAGGCCCUUC
This 455-nucleotide ribosomal RNA is filed under the name Veillonella parvula. Its description in RNAcentral is "bacterial SSU rRNA". It matches the Rfam family "Bacterial small subunit ribosomal RNA", at positions 28 to 459 of the family's 1533-position model. Lineage: Bacteria; Bacillati; Bacillota; Negativicutes; Veillonellales; Veillonellaceae. The record is from RNAcentral.